AUGGCUGGCUCUCUGGGGAUGGAAUCGCGAGCAGGCAGCAUCCACUGGCAACUUUCUCCUCUAGGCUCCCGCUGGAAGGAAGGUCCCCCGGGGCCUGCCCCUUGCUCCCGGAGCCCGGGAGCCCUCCCUCUCGCCUUCUCUGUCCUGGGCUCCUCUCGCACCUCCCGGGCCCGGGGGCGGCUUGGGCUGGGCGAUCACCGAGCCAGGGGAGGAGGCGCCGGCGGCGGCAGGGGAGCCGAGGAACGGCCACCUCGCCGGGGUCCCAUGUGCCCGGGGCUCCGAGGGGGUGCCGGAGCCCGUCCGUCCCGCGCAGCAGCGUCCGCUUCUCUCUCCCGGGCUCAGGCCGCUACCGAUCUAUCUCCGGGCGGCGGAUUCUUGUAUCCCUUCCAAGGCGCCUGGGAAUCCCUCCUCCUCUUCCUUCUCUCGCCCCCACCCCCACCCCUUUUCGCGCCCGGCAACUUGGGAACCUUUCGCAAAGUUGGUGCUCCAGGCUGGGCGCUGCAGGAGCCGAGGCGGCCGGGGCACAGAAAGGAGGAGACCAGAGAAGGGAAGGAGUUGCCCAGACCCGUGGCCCCUCCGCCCAAAGCCUGCACUCCCCCUACUCUCGCUCCCUGCGCCCUAGCUCCACCCCCACCCCCGCCUCCGGGGAGCGAAGAACGAACAAGGACCCCUGUGUGCGCCUUUGUUCCCUGCGCGCCUCCCUGGCCGGCCGGCCCUGCACCCCCCUCUUUGGGCUGCCUCUCUGAAGCCUCUCCCUGUUCCUCCCCGCCCCUCAACUGCACAUCCUGCUCCUUCGAUGGGUAUUGGGGAUCCUCACGACCAAGGAAAAAGGGAGGGGGAGUCCCCCUGCUACUUCCCUCCUAUUUCUUUCUCCUCAGCCUCAUUCCCUUGGGUCCUUGCAGAAAUCCCCAGGGCUCUUUGAAAGUUUCAGUCUCCCCAGUCUGCAUCAUGUUCUCUUACCCACCCACCCCAGUUUCCCCACACAGAGGCCCGAGUCUCUGCUCAACUCUGUGA
RNAcentral lists this long non-coding RNA (1014 nucleotides) under Phascolarctos cinereus (koala). RNAcentral's name for it is "lncRNA (ENSPCIG00000037266.1)". Lineage: Eukaryota; Metazoa; Chordata; Mammalia; Diprotodontia; Phascolarctidae. The record is from RNAcentral.